UACGUAGGGGGCAAGCGUUGUCCGGAAUUAUUGGGCGUAAAGGGCUCGUAGGCGGUUUGUCGCGUCGGGAGUGAAAACCUUGGGCUUAACUCAGGGCUUGCUUUCGAUACGGGCAGACUAGAGGUAUGCAGGGGAGAACGGAAGUUCCUGGUGUAGCGGUGGAAAUGCGCAGAUAUCAGGAGGAACACCGGUGGCGAAGGCGGUCUCUGGGCAUGAUCUGACGCUGAGGAGCGAAAGUGUGGGGAGCGAACAGG
RNAcentral lists this ribosomal RNA (254 nucleotides) under uncultured bacterium. RNAcentral's name for it is "partial 16S ribosomal RNA". It matches the Rfam family "Bacterial small subunit ribosomal RNA", at positions 524 to 776 of the family's 1533-position model. The record is from RNAcentral.